RNAcentral lists this ribosomal RNA (494 nucleotides) under uncultured bacterium. Its description in RNAcentral is "partial 16S ribosomal RNA". It matches the Rfam family "Bacterial small subunit ribosomal RNA", at positions 28 to 507 of the family's 1533-position model. The record is from RNAcentral.
GACGAACGCUGGCGGCGUGCUUAACACAUGCAAGUCGAACGGAAAGGCCUGCUUUCCCUUGUGGAUUGCGGGUACUCGAGUGGCGAACGGGUGAGUAACACGUGAGUGAUCUGCCCCCAACUUGGGUAUAAGCCUGGGAAACUGGGUCUAAUUCCCGAUAGGACUGCAGGGUGGUGCCUGUGGUGGAAAACGAUUUUCUAGUGGUUGGGGAUGAGCUCGCGGCCUAUCAGCUUGUUGGUGGGGUAAUGGCCUACCAAGGCGGCGACGGGUAGCCGGCCUGAGAGGGUGGACGGCCACAUUGGGACUGAGAUACGGCCCAGACUCCUACGGGAGGCAGCAGUGGGGAAUAUUGCACAAUGGGCGGAAGCCUGAUGCAGCGACGCCGCGUGGGGGAUGACGGCCUUCGGGUUGUAAACUCCUUUCGACCGCGAGGAAGCCACCUGGUUGGAAGGGUGGUGACGGUAGUGGUAGAAGAAGCACCGGCUGACUACGUG